UAAGCGACUAAGCGUACACGGUGGAUGCCCUGGCAGUCAGAGGCGAUGAAGGACGUGCUAAUCUGCGAUAAGCGUCGGUAAGGUGAUAUGAACCGUUAUAACCGGCGAUUUCCGAAUGGGGAAACCCAGUGUGUUUCGACACACUAUCAUUAACUGAAUCCAUAGGUUAAUGAGGCGAACCGGGGGAACUGAAACAUCUAAGUACCCCGAGGAAAAGAAAUCAACCGAGAUUCCCCCAGUAGCGGCGAGCGAACGGGGAGCAGCCCAGAGCCUGAAUCAGUGUGUGUGUUAGUGGAAGCGUCUGGAAAGGCGCGCGAUACAGGGUGACAGCCCCGUACACAAAAAUGCACAUACUGUGAGCUCGAUGAGUAGGGCGGGACACGUGGUAUCCUGUCUGAAUAUGGGGGGACCAUCCUCCAAGGCUAAAUACUCCUGACUGACCGAUAGUGAACCAGUACCGUGAGGGAAAGGCGAAAAGAACCCCGGCGAGGGGAGUGAAAAAGAACCUGAAACCGUGUACGUACAAGCAGUGGGAGCACAGAGCAAUCUGUGUGACUGCGUACCUUUUGUAUAAUGGGUCAGCGACUUAUAUUCUGUAGCAAGGUUAACCGAAUAGGGGAGCCGAAGGGAAACCGAGUCUUAACCGGGCGUUAAGUUGCAGGGUAUAGACCCGAAACCCGGUGAUCUAGCCAUGGGCAGGUUGAAGGUUGGGUAACACUAACUGGAGGACCGAACCGACUAAUGUUGAAAAAUUAGCGGAUGACUUGUGGCUGGGGGUGAAAGGCCAAUCAAACCGGGAGAUAGCUGGUUCUCCCCGAAAGCUAUUUAGGUAGCGCCUCGUGAAUUCAUCUCCGGGGGUAGAGCACUGUUUCGGCAAGGGGGUCAUCCCGACUUACCAACCCGAUGCAAACUGCGAAUACCGGAGAAUGUUAUCACGGGAGACACACGGCGGGUGCUAACGUCCGUCGUGAAGAGGGAAACAACCCAGACCGCCAGCUAAGGUCCCAAAGUCAUGGUUAAGUGGGAAACGAUGUGGGAAGGCCCAGACAGCCAGGAUGUUGGCUUAGAAGCAGCCAUCAUUUAAAGAAAGCGUAAUAGCUCACUGGUCGAGUCGGCCUGCGCGGAAGAUGUAACGGGGCUAAACCAUGCACCGAAGCUGCGGCAGCGACACUGUGUGUUGUUGGGUAGGGGAGCGUUCUGUAAGCCUGUGAAGGUGUACUGUGAGGUAUGCUGGAGGUAUCAGAAGUGCGAAUGCUGACAUAAGUAACGAUAAAGCGGGUGAAAAGCCCGCUCGCCGGAAGACCAAGGGUUCCUGUCCAACGUUAAUCGGGGCAGGGUGAGUCGACCCCUAAGGCGAGGCCGAAAGGCGUAGUCGAUGGGAAACAGGUUAAUAUUCCUGUACUUGGUGUUACUGCGAAGGGGGGACGGAGAAGGCUAUGUUGGCCGGGCGACGGUUGUCCCGGUUUAAGCGUGUAGGCUGGUUUUCCAGGCAAAUCCGGAAAAUCAAGGCUGAGGCGUGAUGACGAGGCACUACGGUGCUGAAGCAACAAAUGCCCUGCUUCCAGGAAAAGCCUCUAAGCAUCAGGUAACAUCAAAUCGUACCCCAAACCGACACAGGUGGUCAGGUAGAGAAUACCAAGGCGCUUGAGAGAACUCGGGUGAAGGAACUAGGCAAAAUGGUGCCGUAACUUCGGGAGAAGGCACGCUGAUAUGUAGGUGAAGUCCCUUGCGGAUGGAGCUGAAAUCAGUCGAAGAUACCAGCUGGCUGCAACUGUUUAUUAAAAACACAGCACUGUGCAAACACGAAAGUGGACGUAUACGGUGUGACGCCUGCCCGGUGCCGGAAGGUUAAUUGAUGGGGUCAGCGCAAGCGAAGCUCUUGAUCGAAGCCCCGGUAAACGGCGGCCGUAACUAUAACGGUCCUAAGGUAGCGAAAUUCCUUGUCGGGUAAGUUCCGACCUGCACGAAUGGCGUAAUGAUGGCCAGGCUGUCUCCACCCGAGACUCAGUGAAAUUGAACUCGCUGUGAAGAUGCAGUGUACCCGCGGCAAGACGGAAAGACCCCGUGAACCUUUACUAUAGCUUGACACUGAACAUUGAGCCUUGAUGUGUAGGAUAGGUGGGAGGCUUUGAAGUGUGGACGCCAGUCUGCAUGGAGCCGACCUUGAAAUACCACCCUUUAAUGUUUGAUGUUCUAACGUGGACCCGUGAUCCGGGUUGCGGACAGUGUCUGGUGGGUAGUUUGACUGGGGCGGUCUCCUCCUAAAGAGUAACGGAGGAGCACGAAGGUUGGCUAAUCCUGGUCGGACAUCAGGAGGUUAGUGCAAUGGCAUAAGCCAGCUUGACUGCGAGCGUGACGGCGCGAGCAGGUGCGAAAGCAGGUCAUAGUGAUCCGGUGGUUCUGAAUGGAAGGGCCAUCGCUCAACGGAUAAAAGGUACUCCGGGGAUAACAGGCUGAUACCGCCCAAGAGUUCAUAUCGACGGCGGUGUUUGGCACCUCGAUGUCGGCUCAUCACAUCCUGGGGCUGAAGUAGGUCCCAAGGGUAUGGCUGUUCGCCAUUUAAAGUGGUACGCGAGCUGGGUUUAGAACGUCGUGAGACAGUUCGGUCCCUAUCUGCUGUGGGCGCUGGAGAACUGAGGGGGGCUGCUCCUAGUACGAGAGGACCGGAGUGGACGCAUCACUGGUGUUCGGGUUGUCAUGCCAAUGGCACUGCCCGGUAGCUAAAUGCGGAAGAGAUAAGUGCUGAAAGCAUCUAAGCACGAAACUUGCCCCGAGAUGAGUUCUCCCUGACCCUUUAAGGGUCCUGAAGGAACGUUGAAGACGACGACGUUGAUAGGCCGGGUGUGUAAGCGCAGCGAUGCGUUGAGCUAACCGGUACUAAUGAACCGUGAGGCUUAACCU
This 2901-nucleotide ribosomal RNA is filed under the name Escherichia coli TW06591. Its description in RNAcentral is "bacterial LSU rRNA". It matches the Rfam family "Bacterial large subunit ribosomal RNA". The record is from RNAcentral. Lineage: Bacteria; Pseudomonadati; Pseudomonadota; Gammaproteobacteria; Enterobacterales; Enterobacteriaceae.